AUGUCGUGAUAAGGGGACUUUAGUAAAAACUGAUUAAACUGCUCCCAUGCUUCAUAUAAAGAUUCUUCGUCAAGUUGCUGAAACGAAGUGAUUUUAUUUCGGAUCUU
Gossypium arboreum is the source of this 107-nucleotide small nucleolar RNA. It matches the Rfam family "Plant small nucleolar RNA R71". From Rfam's summary of the family: R71 is a member of the C/D box family of snoRNAs containing the C (UGAUGA) and D (CUGA) box motifs. Lineage: Eukaryota; Viridiplantae; Streptophyta; Magnoliopsida; Malvales; Malvaceae. The record is from Rfam.